RNAcentral lists this ribosomal RNA (514 nucleotides) under uncultured bacterium. Its description in RNAcentral is "partial 16S ribosomal RNA". It matches the Rfam family "Bacterial small subunit ribosomal RNA", at positions 28 to 523 of the family's 1533-position model. The record is from RNAcentral.
GAUGAACGCUGGCGGCGUGCCUAAUACAUGCAAGUCGAGCGAAAAGAGGAGAAGCUUGCUUCUCUGAGGGGAGCGGCGGACGGGUGAGUAACACGUGGGUAACCUACCUAUAAGACUGGGAUAACUCCGGGAAACCGGGGCUAAUACCGGAUAAUAUUUUGAACCGCAUGGUUCGAUAGUGAAAGACGGUUUCGGCUGUCACUUAUAGAUGGACCCGCGCCGUAUUAGCUAGUUGGUAAGGUAACGGCUUACCAAGGCGACGAUACGUAGCCGACCUGAGAGGGUGAUCGGCCACACUGGAACUGAGACACGGUCCAGACUCCUACGGGAGGCAGCAGUAGGGAAUCUUCCGCAAUGGGCGAAAGCCUGACGGAGCAACGCCGCGUGAGUGAUGAAGGUCUUCGGAUCGUAAAACUCUGUUGUUAGGGAAGAACAAAUUUGUUAGUAACUGAACAAGUCUUGACGGUACCUAACUAGAAGGCCACGGCUAACUACGUGCCAGCAGCCGCCGUAA